UUCUUUCAUUAACAAAAGUUCAUCUAAAAUUUCAAAACAACAACUAAAUUAGUGUCUUUCUAUUUUUAAAGUUUUAUCUCUAAACAUAUUAGUAGUUUAAUCUUUUAAAAAUUAGAAAACCAGAUAAGUUAAAAGUAUAUUUUAAAUACAAAAAAAAAACUUAAACAAUGAAUAAUUUUUUUUAUUUUUUUUCAAACUUUAAAUAUCUGAACCUGACCCAAAAUAUCCUAACCCGAAUAUAAAAUACCCGAACCCGAUCUGAAGUGUAGAAAUACCCUAACGGGUUCUAUACCUUUAUACUGAAAUAGCCGAAAUUUCUAAAUACCCGAUACGAACCCAAACAGGUAUCUGAACGCCCACCCCUCUCA
This 368-nucleotide long non-coding RNA is filed under the name Brassica napus (rape). RNAcentral describes it as "long non-coding RNA (BNAP_LNC019609)". The record is from RNAcentral. Lineage: Eukaryota; Viridiplantae; Streptophyta; Magnoliopsida; Brassicales; Brassicaceae.